RNAcentral lists this ribosomal RNA (460 nucleotides) under uncultured bacterium. RNAcentral describes it as "partial 16S ribosomal RNA". It matches the Rfam family "Bacterial small subunit ribosomal RNA", at positions 338 to 795 of the family's 1533-position model. The record is from RNAcentral.
CCUACGGGAGGCAGCAGUGAGGAAUAUUGGUCAAUGGACGAGAGUCUGAACCAGCCAAGUAGCGUGAAGGAUGACUGCCCUAUGGGUUGUAAACUUCUUUUAUAAAAGAGUAAAACGAGGCACGUGUGCCUUUUUGCAUGUACUUUAUGAAUAAGGAUCGGCUAACUCCGUGCCAGCAGCCGCGGUAAUACGGAGGAUCCGAGCGUUAUCCGGAUUUAUUGGGUUUAAAGGGAGCGUAGAUGGGUUGUUAAGUCAGAUGUGAAAUUUUGAGGCUCAACCGUAAAAUUGCCAUUGAUACUGGCAGUCUUGAGUAUAGUUGAGGUAGGCGGAAUGCGUGGUGUAGCGGUGAAAUGCUUAGAUAUCACGAAGAACCCCGAUUGCGAAGGCAGCUUACUAAACUGUGACUGACAUUGAUGCUCGAAAGUGUGGGUAUCAAACAGGAUUAGAUACCCCGGUAGUC